Molecule: long non-coding RNA, 1059 nt
Filed under: Homo sapiens (human)
Lineage: Eukaryota; Metazoa; Chordata; Mammalia; Primates; Hominidae
Description: non-protein coding lnc-NUS1-2:1
Source: RNAcentral
GACACACCCAGGAACAAUACUUUGCAUCCCUCAAUCCAAUCAAGUUGAUGUUUAAUAUUAACCAUCACACUUGGCAAAUCAUAAUGCUAAAUAGAAUCAUCAUAUGGAUAACUUCCUGGAAAUAGAGUAGCUGAUUUUAUCAAAUAUGAAAAAUAAUUUUUGUAUGUGAUGCUGGUGCUAUUGGCAUACACUACAGGCUUUUGGUUGCAAGCAAUAAAAACAGACUAACUGACUUAAGCAUGAAAGAAGUUAUUGAAAGGACUUGGGAUAGCUCACAGAAUCAAAGGAAAAGAUGAGGAUCUUGAAAGGACAGGGAUCAAAGCUGCUCCAGGGCCCCAGGCAGAAAUACAUCAUGGAAGAGACCCUCAGUUUCUUCAGGGCUCUCCUCUUGGCAGAAUGCAGCGCCUCCGACUAUUUUCAUUGUUAGCUCCCUCCUCUCAACAUUCAUAUCCUCAGAGGGGAAGAUUAAUGGGCUUAGUUUGAGUCACGUUUGCCAGGCUAAGGAACAGUAGGUCUUGUUUGACAGUCUUACCCAGACCAAAAUGAAACCAGAAAGGGAAAUGCAAACAGGCACCUUCAAUCCUACAGAUACCCCUACAAUGGCCUUCCUGAAGAGUUGUGCUCCGAGUUCUAUGCAGUUCUCACUGAGGUGACCACAAUCCCCAUCCUGCCUUUCUUUUGAUUAAAUAUAUGCUUUUGAGAGUUGCCUGUUUGGGAAUGGCCAAAGAAUAAUUUUGUUCUGUGAAUCCACUUGUGAAUACAGUCUAUUUGCAAAUAAAUCUGAAACUCUAUCCAAAUUAGCUCCUAUAAGAUUUAUCUGUUGCAGUACUUUACAUUUUUCUGUUAAAAUAUCCCCAGUGAGAAAGUAAAUAAUAGAGAAUGAAUGGAUAAGCAAAGAUGUCCACCAGAAGCCAAACCUUUUUUCAGAAUGUCAUGUUUUAACUUACCAUUUUAUUCACAUUUUGCAGUACUUACUUUAUAUUUUCCUCUCUCAAAAUCUUUAUAAAAUUGACCCUCUUGGUGGGGCGUGGUGGCUCAGGCCGGUAAUCCCAGCAUUUU